RNAcentral lists this ribosomal RNA (467 nucleotides) under Aspilota sp. RNAcentral describes it as "partial 16S ribosomal RNA". Lineage: Eukaryota; Metazoa; Arthropoda; Insecta; Hymenoptera; Braconidae. The record is from RNAcentral.
CUGCCCAAUGAUUUUAUAUUAUUUGGCUGCAAAAUUUUAAUUGUACAAAGGUAGCAUAAUAAUUUGUUUUUUAAUUAAAAACUAGUAUAAAUGAUUUAAUAAAAUAUAAACUAUUUUAAUUAAAUAAAUAUUUAAAUUUUUAUUUAAGUAAAAAAACUUAAAUUUAAUUAAAAGACGACAAGACCCUAUAGAAUUUAAUUUUUUAAAUUAAUUAAAUAAUUAAUUUAUUAAAUAAUUAAUUAUUAAAAAUUUAAUUGGGGUAAUUAAAAAAUUAAAUAAAUUUUUUUAAAAAAAAACAAUAAUUAUUGAAAAAAAAAUCUUAUUAUAUAAAUUAUUAAAAUUAAUUACCUUAGGGAUAACAGCAUAAUUUUUUUUAAAAGUUCUUAUUAAUAAAAAAGAUUAUGACCUCGAUGUUGAAUUAAGAUAAAAUUAAAAUGAAAAAAUUUAAAAUUUAAGUCUGUUCGACU